This 300-nucleotide ribosomal RNA is filed under the name uncultured Lactobacillus sp. Its description in RNAcentral is "partial 16S ribosomal RNA". The stretch from base 52 to 300 matches the Rfam family "Bacterial small subunit ribosomal RNA", at positions 547 to 795 of the family's 1533-position model. The record is from RNAcentral. Lineage: Bacteria; Bacillati; Bacillota; Bacilli; Lactobacillales; Lactobacillaceae.
GAUGAGUAGUGGGCAGCGGGCGGCGGAAGACGUUGGGCGCGAGCUCUGUGCGGAAGUAUUGGGCUUAUAGGGUGCGUAGGGGGUAGGGUACGUCUGCAGUGAAAACCCGGGGCGUCAGCCUGGGGGUGGAGUGGAGACGGGGAGACUAGAGGCAGGGAGGGGGGAAUGGAAUUCCCGGUGGAGCGGUGGAAUGCGCAGAUAUCGGGAGGAACACCGGUGGCGAAGGCGGUUGUCUGGGCCUGACCUGACGCUGAGGAGCGAAAGCGUGGGGAGCGAACAGGAUUAGAUACCCGGGUAGUC